Molecule: transfer RNA, 73 nt
Organism: Babesia sp. Xinjiang
Lineage: Eukaryota; Apicomplexa; Aconoidasida; Piroplasmida; Babesiidae
Rfam family: tRNA
About the family: Transfer RNA (tRNA) molecules are approximately 80 nucleotides in length. Their secondary structure includes four short double-helical elements and three loops (D, anti-codon, and T loops).
Source: Rfam
CCGGUGAUAGCUCAGUUGGUAGAGCGGCAGACUGUAGAUCUGAUGGUCCUCGGUUCGAUUCCGGGUCACCGGA